This 260-nucleotide ribosomal RNA is filed under the name Isochrysis galbana. RNAcentral describes it as "partial Bacterial small subunit ribosomal RNA". It matches the Rfam family "Bacterial small subunit ribosomal RNA", at positions 91 to 353 of the family's 1533-position model. The record is from RNAcentral. Lineage: Eukaryota; Haptophyta; Isochrysidales; Isochrysidaceae.
ACGACCGGCGCACGGGUGCGUAACGCGUAUACAAUCUACCUUUUACUGAGGGAUAGCCCAGAGAAAUCUGGAUUAAUACCUCAUAGUAUAUAGAGAUGGCAUCAUUUUUAUAUUAAAGGUUACGGUAAGAGAUGAGUAUGCGUCCUAUUAGCUAGUUGGUGUGGUAACGGCACACCAAGGCAACGAUAGAUAGGGGCCCUGAGAGGGGGAUCCCCCACACUGGUACUGAGACACGGACCAGACUCCUACGGGAGGCAGCA